GACGAACGCUGGCGGCGUGCUUAACACAUGCAAGUCGAACGAUGAACCGGUUUCGGCCGGGGAUUAGUGGCGAACGGGUGAGUAACACGUGGGCAAUCUGCCCUGCACUCUGGGACAAGCCCUGGAAACGGGGUCUAAUACCGGAUACUGACCGACACGGGCAUCCGUGACGGUCGAAAGCUCCGGCGGUGCAGGAUGAGCCCGCGGCCUAUCAGCUUGUUGGUGAGGUAGUGGCUCACCAAGGCGACGACGGGUAGCCGGCCUGAGAGGGCGACCGGCCACACUGGGACUGAGACACGGCCCAGACUCCUACGGGAGGCAGCAGUGGGGAAUAUUGCACAAUGGGCGAAAGCCUGAUGCAGCGACGCCGCGUGAGGGAUGACGGCCUUCGGGUUGUAAACCUCUUUCAGCAGGGAAGAAGCGAAAGUGACGGUACCUGCAGAAGAAGCGCCGGCUAACUACGUGCCAGCAGCCGCGGUAAUACGUAGGGCGCAAGCGUUGUCCGGAAUUAUUGGGCGUAAAGAGCUCGUAGGCGGCUUGUCACGUCGGUUGUGAAAGCCCGGGGCUUAACCCCGGGUCUGCAGUCGAUACGGGCAGGCUAGAGUUCGGUAGGGGAGAUCGGAAUUCCUGGUGUAGCGGUGAAAUGCGCAGAUAUCAGGAGGAACACCGGUGGCGAAGGCGGAUCUCUGGGCCGAUACUGACGCUGAGGAGCGAAAGCGUGGGGAGCGAACAGGAUUAGAUACCCUGGUAGUCCACGCCGUAAACGGUGGGCACUAGGUGUGGGCAACAUUCCACGUUGUCCGUGCCGCAGCUAACGCAUUAAGUGCCCCGCCUGGGGAGUACGGCCGCAAGGCUAAA
This 858-nucleotide ribosomal RNA is filed under the name Streptomyces sp. RNAcentral's name for it is "bacterial SSU rRNA". It matches the Rfam family "Bacterial small subunit ribosomal RNA", at positions 28 to 898 of the family's 1533-position model. Lineage: Bacteria; Bacillati; Actinomycetota; Actinomycetes; Kitasatosporales; Streptomycetaceae. The record is from RNAcentral.